GACGUGUUGCAAUCCAUGAGGAAUCCACCACAACCGAUACGAACGUCGUUCGCACGUAGCGUUGAACGCUUUGUUCCGAGGGGCAGAUAGAGGACGAGGCCUCGUGCCCACAACAUGUUCCGCAUCCGAGAUUUCGAGCAUUACGCCUUGGGUGGGCUACACGAGCGCAUGCACACACACACACACGAGUGCCAACCACGACGCAUGCUAUGAGUUCCAAGCCGCACCACGACACCAAUAGGCGACGCAGAGCAAAAUGAAAAAAAGGGACAAUUUAUCCAUCGUAAUGCCUCACAGAUAGGUAUCGAGUACAGGAGGCCGCAAUCGGACGGG
Molecule: unclassified non-coding RNA, 333 nt
Filed under: Prostanthera tallowa
Lineage: Eukaryota; Viridiplantae; Streptophyta; Magnoliopsida; Lamiales; Lamiaceae
Description: partial external transcribed spacer
Source: RNAcentral